RNAcentral lists this long non-coding RNA (211 nucleotides) under Elaeis guineensis (African oil palm). RNAcentral's name for it is "long non-coding RNA (EGUI_LNC080827)". Lineage: Eukaryota; Viridiplantae; Streptophyta; Magnoliopsida; Arecales; Arecaceae. The record is from RNAcentral.
UUCUUAUGCAUUGAAAUUUAUUUCUUGUAUCAGAUUUUUCAACUUGUGGAUCCAGUCAUAGCAUUACAUCCAUGUCCUUUAGUCUUGUAAGGAGAUCCCUAAACUAGCUGCAAUUUCUCAUAAUCUCAUCCAUCACAUCUUCAGGCAUCAUUAACUUGGAAACUUCUUGGUAUUUAAGCCACUUGGUUGUCCCCUUCAUCAAGUUGACAAC